Lolium rigidum is the source of this 415-nucleotide long non-coding RNA. RefSeq lists it as uncharacterized. The record is from RefSeq and is a predicted model, not a curated record. Lineage: Eukaryota; Viridiplantae; Streptophyta; Magnoliopsida; Poales; Poaceae. The transcript has 3 exons.
GUGAGCCAUGGAAUGGAGGUCCUUCCUCUGUGGCAUGCCGCGAGGAUGCAGUUCACUGCCGAUGGAGAACAGGACUUCUCUGAACCUGACCAAGUCUGCUACGUGUGCACUACUAGGCAAGUUGGUGACUCUGGUUUCUCAUUAUCAUCAUCCGGUGUACAAUGGCCGCGAUGGGCGUACAGAACACCUCUGGUCCUCGCCGUCUCCACCAACGUCAUGCUUCUAGCGGCUGCCUGUCCUGCUUGAUACUCCCAGGAAUCUAUGCACCAGGGCCAUCUUUGGGAUGGCUGGGGUGCGGGAUGUGAUGGCGCCGUGCGGGAUGAAGGAGGACAAGCGGUGGCUGUCUGACCAGGUUGAAGCAAGACACGUGGCAAGUUAGCGACUCUGGUUUGUCAUCAUCAUCAUCAUCAUCAUC